Long non-coding RNA from Lepisosteus oculatus (spotted gar), 1137 nucleotides. RefSeq lists it as uncharacterized. NCBI's taxonomy places the organism in Eukaryota, Metazoa, Chordata, Actinopteri, Semionotiformes, Lepisosteidae. The record is from RefSeq and is a predicted model, not a curated record.
AGGAAACUCAAUACUUCAGAAAAUGUUAAGGAAACAAGCAAGGAGACAGCACAGCACAUUAAGACUCAGGCCCAGCAAACUGAAAGACUGAUAAAGAAGGAAUUUGAGCAACUUCACCAGUUUCUGCGAGAAGAGGAGACAGCAGGAUAGCUGCACUGAGGGAGGAAGAGGGGCAGAAGAGCCAGAUGAUGAAGGAGAAGAUUGAGAGUCUCAAGAGAGAGAUCUCAUCCCUGUCAGACACAAUCAGAGCCAUAGAACGGGAGAUGGGAGCGGAAGACAUUUCAUUCCUGCAGAACUAGAAGAACACAAAGAGCAGAGCUCAGUGCGCACUGCAGGAUCCAGAGGAGGUUUCAGGAACACUGAUCGAUGUUGCCAUGCACCUGGGCUCUCUGAAGUACAGAGUCUGGGAGGAGAUGCUGAGGAUUGUUCAGUACAGUGAGUACUUGGGUGCAGGAUCACAAGAGGGAGGGCGAUUUACAGGUUUUCACAGUACAGGAGGAACAUUGAGAAUUGUGGAAUCAGAUAAAUGCAGUGAGAGUGUGACUGUCUGUGCAAAAGCCCUGGAGUGAAGUGACUGAUCUCCUUCAGUUUGCUCUACAAAGGUGUCACUACAUGGCCAGUUUGCCGUCAAUGACGCUUUAAUGGGAUCCUGGCUCCAUCACAAUAGGCCACAGUAUCAGGCUAAAAAUAAAAUACAAAUUUAUAGAAUACCAACUGUCUAAAUCACAUAGUGGUCACCAUAACAGAUCCCCCUUGAGUGGUAGCUGAGUGCAGGGAAAUCUGUUGCAUUAACCCCCGUGCGACCUGUAAUACUAUGAAGGCAUUAUCCAGAAAGAUAUUGUUAAACAUUCUUUUCAAGCAAUCUACAAUCCCUUCCCAGAUUGCUGCUAGAAGCAGCACCCUUCCAAGGUUCUGAUCUUUCAUUCUCUCAGGAAAGUUUCUCAGUGCCUCCCUGACAGUGAGGGUCCAAACCAAAUCUGACCUGACUAGGACUGCUCACUCACCAGAACCUUAAAUAGAGAAUACUAAGUUCACACACAGCUGACACCAAUUUCCUGCUAUCCUUGUGCAUACUUGAUCAUUAUACUAUAUGCUCUACCCCUGUAUCCCUCUGGAGGCUCUUAUUUAACACUUCAG